UGGGGAAUAUUGCACAAUGGGCGAAAGCCUGAUGCAGCGACGCCGCGUGAGCGAUGAAGGCCUUCGGGUCGUAAAGCUCUGUCCUAUGGGACGAUAGUGACGGUACCAUAGGAGGAAGCCCCGGCUAACUACGUGCCAGCAGCCGCGGUAAUACGUAGGGGGCGAGCGUUGUCCGGAAUUACUGGGCGUAAAGGGUGCGUAGGCGGCUUAGUAAGUCAGGUGUGAAAGGCAUGGGCUCAACCCAUGUAAGCACUUGAAACUGCUUAGCUUGAGUUAAGGAGAGGGAAGCGGAAUUCCUGGUGUAGCGGUGAAAUGCGUAGAUAUCAGGAGGAACACCAGUGGCGAAGGCGGCUUCCUGGCCUUGGACUGACGCUGAGGCACGAAAGCGUGGGGAGCAAACAGG
This 403-nucleotide ribosomal RNA is filed under the name uncultured bacterium. RNAcentral's name for it is "bacterial SSU rRNA". It matches the Rfam family "Bacterial small subunit ribosomal RNA", at positions 355 to 776 of the family's 1533-position model. The record is from RNAcentral.